This 753-nucleotide ribosomal RNA is filed under the name uncultured bacterium. RNAcentral's name for it is "partial 16S ribosomal RNA". It matches the Rfam family "Bacterial small subunit ribosomal RNA", at positions 37 to 804 of the family's 1533-position model. The record is from RNAcentral.
UGGCGGCGCGCCUAACACAUGCAAGUCGAACGGUACCCCCCUCCGGGGGGAAGCCAGUGGCGAAACGGCUGAUUAACUCGUGGAGAACCUGCCCCCUCCUCGGGAAUAGCCGCAGGAAAACCGCGGGUAAUGUCCCGGACGACCCGGGGACCGGGCAUGGGGCCCCCGGCAAAAGCCCAGGCGGGAGGGGAAGGCUCCGCGGCCCAUCAGGUAGACGGCGGGGGUGACGGCCCCCCGUGCCGACAACGGGUAGCCGGGUGGAGAGACCGACCGGCCAGAUUGGGACUGAGACACGGCCCAGACUCCUACGGGAGGCAGCAGUGGGGAAUCUUGCGCAAUGGGGGCAACCCUGACGCAGCGACGCCGCGUGCGGGACGGAGGCCUUCGGGUCGUAAACCGCUUUCAGCAGGGAAGAGACAAGACUGUACCUGCAGAAGAAGCCCCGGCUAACUACGUGCCAGCAGCCGCGGUAAUACGUAGGGGGCGAGCGUUAUCCGGAUUCAUUGGGCGUAAAGCGCGCGUAGGCGGCCUGGCAGGCCGGGGGUCAAAUGCGGGGGCUCAACCCCCGCCCGCCCCCGGAACCUCUAGGCUUGGGUCCGGUAGGGGAGGGUGGAACACCCGGUGUAGCGGUGGAAUGCGCAGAUAUCGGGUGGAACACCGGUGGCGAAGGCGGCCCUCUGGGCCGUGACCGACGCUGAGGCGCGAAAGCUGGGGGAGCGAACAGGAUUAGAUACCCUGGUAGUCCCAGCCGUA